CGAGCGCACCCUUGUCCUCAGUUACCAGCACGUUAUGGUGGGCACUCUGGGGAGACUGCCGGUGACAAACCGGAAGAAGGUGGGGACGACGUCAAGUCAUCAUGGCCCUUACGGCCAGGGCUACACACGUGCUACAAUGGUGCAUACAGACGGUUGCCAAGCCGCAAGGUGGGGCUAAUCUGAGAAAGUGCAUCGUAGUCCGGAUUGGGGUCUGCAACUCGACCCCAUGAAGUCGGAAUCGCUAGUAAUCGUGAAUCAGAAUGUCACGGUGAAUACGUUCCCGGGCCUU
RNAcentral lists this ribosomal RNA (289 nucleotides) under uncultured Endozoicomonas sp. RNAcentral describes it as "partial 16S ribosomal RNA". It matches the Rfam family "Bacterial small subunit ribosomal RNA", at positions 1093 to 1382 of the family's 1533-position model. Lineage: Bacteria; Pseudomonadati; Pseudomonadota; Gammaproteobacteria; Oceanospirillales; Endozoicomonadaceae. The record is from RNAcentral.